UACGUAGGGGGCGAGCGUUAUCCGGAAUUAUUGGGCGUAAAGCGUACGUAGGUGGUUUUGUAAGCGUUAGGUGAAAGCCUGCGGCUUAACCGCAGCGAGCCUGAUGAACUGCAAGACUUGAGUGCAGGAGGGGUAAGUGGAACUCCAUGUGUAGCGGUGAAAUGCGUAGAUAUAUGGAAGAACACCGGUGGCGAAGGCGACUUACUGGACUGUAACUGACACUGAGGUACGAAAGCGUGGGGAGCAAACA
Molecule: ribosomal RNA, 250 nt
Filed under: uncultured prokaryote
Description: partial 16S ribosomal RNA
Rfam family: Bacterial small subunit ribosomal RNA
Source: RNAcentral